GUAUUGUCCGCAUAUAAAAAGGUCUUAAAUAUAUUCUGGUAGGCAGUUUUGUCUUACAAAGUCAAGAGUUAAGAGAAAAAUAAACAUGAGCAAGUUCACGAUUGUUCUCCUGCUGAUUGCCCUGGUCACCAUGACCUUGGCGAGACCCCAAGAUGACGGAAGCAAAGUGGAUAUCGUCGAUGGAGACCGCCAAGUUGACUUCGUUGACAGCGACCCACAACAAGUGCACAUCGUCGACCCUGUUGAUUUUAUUCAACCCCGGAAUGGAGGGAGCAAGUGAUGAUAGUAAAUAAGUUUUCAAUCAACAUUAAGAUGUUAAUAUUAUAAUUUAGCAGUAAAUUCGUACAGUAUAAGUGCAGAAGACAGUUCCAGUUACAUACAAUUAUUAUGUAAUAUACAUAUAUAUUUCUUAACAUAA
Molecule: long non-coding RNA, 418 nt
Organism: Spodoptera litura
Lineage: Eukaryota; Metazoa; Arthropoda; Insecta; Lepidoptera; Noctuidae
Source: RefSeq, a predicted model, not a curated record